Cavia porcellus (domestic guinea pig) is the source of this 3986-nucleotide long non-coding RNA. RefSeq lists it as uncharacterized. The transcript is spliced from 6 exons. The record is from RefSeq and is a predicted model, not a curated record. Lineage: Eukaryota; Metazoa; Chordata; Mammalia; Rodentia; Caviidae.
CAAGCUGGGAACCUGCCACUAUAGCGAAGCUGGAUCCCGUCUGGCUUAAAGACAUGAUUUCUCUUUUUUUCUGUCGGUGACCUCCCGUCUGGACCUCUCAACCCCAAAACAAACACACCAUUGAGGUCCUUUGUGUCCGGCUGUGGUUACUUCCCACCCUCCUGUUCUGCACCCCUCGUCCUUCUUUUUGAUGCUUUGCUUUAAUCCUUAUUUUUUUUAAAAUUCACCAUUAAAAAAACCCAUAGCCUUGUUAUAUGGUUCAGGCUAGCCCAGGCAAACCUUUAACUUGCUGCAAUGCUCCUGCCUUAGCCUCCCAAGGGCUGGAUUACAAGGCAUGCGCUGCCACGCCUGCUCCUCGAAUCUGGGGAUUUUUCUAAUUUCAUUCCCUGUCUUGUAGCUGGAAUGUAAGCUCCGGAAAAACACUGGCAUAGUGCUGUAUCCCGAGCGUGCAGGAUGCGGCACAUUUUGGGCGCUCCACAGAUACUGAUCACAUGAAUUCUGUAGGAAAUGCGUUUUUGAAAGUUGAGGAUAGUUAGAGGAGUCAGAGCUUCAGGUCCUCUCACAAGACCGCCUAUAAACACCCUCCCCACCCCCACCUCAGCAUAAGUGUUGGUUGGGAAGGCUCCUACCCAUUGCUGUGCAGGAGGGGAGGCAGGUCAUGGAGGGAAAUGUUUUAAACCUGGACCCCAACCCCUUUCCAGCUUUGCAAAGAAAACAGAACUUAGUAAAGGUACCCUGGAGCAGAGGCCUUUCAUGACUCAACAUGUUGUGAACAUGGGGACAGGUGUGCCGUGGUGGAAUCAGUCCGGCCUGAGUUUGAGUAUUUCUGUGUGAUCUUGAAUUAUAACCCUAAGUCUCCAUAUCCUGGUCAGCAAAGUAGAGAUCUUCUAGCUGCCUCAUGAUGUUCCUGAAGAGGUAGAGAUGGAGCCUGGAGCCUCAUGCAGCUUGGCAGGUGCCACCGCGCUACUUCUUCAGCCUCCAAGUUGCUCGAUUGAUCUAAACCCAGGGGUGCAUUUCCAGGCCUCACACGUCUCUGCUUGGGCAGACUAGACCACGCGCACUUGGAGAUCACAAGGCACGGGAAGUUACCUGGCGGUAAACGGAAAACAUAAGGGUUUUCUCAUCUCAUCUGUACCAUGAGGGCGGAGCUGGUGAAAUCCUGGAGAUGGAAGGCCCCAGAGGACAAGCUCAUCUUCUUGUGGCAUCCACAGCAUCGUGAGCGGUCCACACAGGCCUUCUCCCCAUCAGGCUGAGUGCAUGUGGACCCGGCCGCACCAUCACAGAGCUUUUUCACAAGCAGUGUGAUCCGGUGCUUCUUGCCCUUGAGGGCUGCAAAGACCACAGGAAGAGCUAUCCCUGGACACCCAGCUGGAGACCCCAGGGAUCCUGCUGCACUGAGCUAUCCCUGGACACCGUUCAUGGGAGGGCCUCAGGAAGGAUGGCAGAAGGAACUAAAUCUCUGAAGGACUGUAGAGGAGAAGCUGGGCACCAGGGCACCUCUUAGCUGAAGUUUGACCCUUGAAGCCUUACACCAAAGGAUGGAAGACCUGACCCAGCUGGGACCUCAAAAGCCUCCACCAAGGUGGGAGGUAAACAGCAGGCUUGUUACAGGAGGGAAGGAAUAGUGCCUGUUAUAGCACUAUUCAGUGUGGGUGAGAAUCUUGGCAGUGCCCAGGGAAGAGGACCAGGGGUAGACACUGGGACCUCUUGCUGCUGGCACAUGCCCAGGAUAUUCUGUGGGCUGCAGAUGUGUUCUGCAUCAGGGCUGGCCUGUAGCAAUUGUGGGGAGAAUGAGACGUCAUGGUCCCUGAGAUGGGGGCAGGUGCAGACAUGGGGACAGGGGUUCCCUCCAUUCUGACUCCUGGAAAGCUUAUGCCCAGAAAGCACUUCUGGGGCUGGAAUUCAGGGAGGCUGAGAGACACAGGGGUCCUUGAGUAUAACUGUCAAGGGGCCCCCUCGUCUCCUCUUCUGAUUGGCUACAGAUGUACGGUGGGCUGAGGGUUCUUCCCAGGUUUGGAGCAAGGCAAUCAAGGCCAGGGUGAAGCUUCCUGUUUUGCAGACCAAGGGCUACCUGUGACCUGCUCAGGAUUCUGGGGCUCAGGGAAUGACAGCGCGCAUCAUGGCUGGUGGAAAGCAGUGAGUGGUCCAGGAGACCUUAGGAGCCUGCAACAUUGGCUCUUAGGGUCCCCUUUCAAGUGUUUCCAGUUGUGGCAAGCAGUCAAGGAAGAUCUUGUAUUGCAAAUCUUGCAGAAAAACUUGAGUUUGAAAAAACGACAACAAAAAACCAACUAAUCCAGAAUGGCUUCCCGAAACCUGGUCCCCUCUGAACGUGAGGCCCAGGGUCAGGAAGCCAGGAGCAGAGUGCCGGGGAACCCCCAGGGCAAUGGGGACUUUUGGCUUUGACACUGAGCUUUGUCUUCAGGUGGAAGCGAGUGGCUGGUUCCAUCCACUGGAAACAUACGUCAUCCCCAGAUCUGAGGGGCUUUGUUCCUUGCCCACGGAUGGAGAGGCCACCUGCUGGGACAUAUUGCUGCUAAAGGACUCUCAUUUGCCACAGGCUGUGUGGUCCAGGCCUCAGGGACCCUGUAGCCUGGAGCCCAGGGAGGAUACAGGCCACGAAAGGGUCACUUGCUGCUGAGUGUCUUAACUUUUGUGGCAUUGAUGUCGGCCUUGGUCUUUUGGAUUCUGGCAAAGAUCUCCUUGAAGAGCGCCUUGUAUUCAGGCUGGCUCUGCUCCAGCCGCUUGUCCACAGCCUCCACGUGCUGGCUCAGGCUCUUCUCCCCACCCUGGCCUUCCUCGCCCCCUCGCAGGUCCCUCCACGAGCUGUCUCGGGAGAUGGGCCGCGAGGUCUGCACACCCGCGUGCCGCACCCCCGCCCCAUGCUGUCGGCACUUGCUCAGCAGCUCUUCGUAUUUCUCCAGCAGCGCGUGGUACUGCUCAUCCACCUCCCGCAGGAUGGACAUGCCGCGCCUGCGCACGCUGUUGGCGUGCAGCGUGAGGCUGCCUGCGUGCCGACCGGCGGGGUCUUUGGCCACGAUGGCGUUGAGCGCCGUGUCACUGCAGCUCUUGCGCACAGCAUGGCCUGGGGAAGCAGCGGGCGAGGCGACACCGUCCGGUACGCUAGAGUCGUCUCCACUACCUGGCUGAGGGUCGUCAGCCUCAGGAACCUGAGUGAGGGGUGCCAGCAGCGCCUCGGCCAGGUGGUCAUCCCGGCCCAGCAGGUAGGUCUUGGCCUGCUUCAUCUGCUGCAGCUCCAGGAUCUCGGCUUCCAGCUCCUGCACGCGCAGGCGGCAGCCCUCCAUCUCGCACAGCUGCCGUUCCAGCUCCGUGUACUCCUGCAGCACGGCCGUGUACUCGCGCUCUGCCCGCUCCUUGCGCUGCCGCUCCUGACUCACCUGAGAGCGCAGGACCUCCACCAGGGUCUGUAGCCGCUCGUUCUCCUGCUCCAGGGUUCGAGGGCCCAGCUCCAGGGAGGAACUGUGCAGGCGGAAGGCAUCCUCGCACCUGCCGAGAAGCAGGGCAGGUGGUCACGGGCCAGGCCUCCCAGCCCAGCUGGCUAUUCUGUCUCCGGUAAUCUCCACCCCUUUUUCCCGCUGGAGGCUGACCACUGGGGCCUCAGCCAGGCAGGAGUGUUUUCUCCUCAUGCCUUGCCCCUGUAUGGUCCAGCCAGGCAGUCCUCUCCAUCCUGUCUAAAUUUCAGUGAUUUCCCUCAGCUUGGCCCAAGGCCUAAGGAUGUAGCCCUAGGAUGCUGUGGUUUCCAUUCAGUUGCUCUUUUCUAUUAAACUCCCCUCUGUGCAAGGAUUCUAACUUUUAUUUCUAUUUUUAGUUUUUUGAGACAGAGUCUCGCUAUGUAGUCCGGGCUGGCUUCGAAUUCACUGUGUAGCUCAAGCUGGCUUGGAACUCGAGGCGAUCAUUCUGUCUCAGCCUCCUGAGUGCCACCAUGCCUGGCUAAGGACGCAAUUAAAGCACUCCCACUAAAUACAUGA